UACGGGGGGGGCAAGCGUUGUUCGGAAUUACUGGGCGUAAAGGGUUUGUAGGUGGCUUGUUAAGUCAGACGUGAAAUCCCUCAGCUUAACUGGGGAACUGCGUCUGAUACUGGCGAGCUUGAGUGCAGGAGAGGAACGCGGAAUUCCAGGUGUAGCGGUGAAAUGCGUAGAUAUCUGGAGGAAUACCGGUGGCGAAGGCGGCAUCCUGGACCGACAUUGACGCUGAUGAGCGAAAGCCAGGGGAGCAAACGGG
RNAcentral lists this ribosomal RNA (253 nucleotides) under uncultured bacterium. RNAcentral's name for it is "partial 16S ribosomal RNA". It matches the Rfam family "Bacterial small subunit ribosomal RNA", at positions 524 to 776 of the family's 1533-position model. The record is from RNAcentral.